UACAGAGGUCCCAAGCGUUGUUCGGAUUUACUGGGCGUAAAGGGUGCGUAGGCGGUCGGGUAAGUCUGGUGUGAAAUGCCGUGGCUCAACCACGGAACUGCAUCGGAUACUAUCAGGCUUGAGGGUGCGAGGGGGGACUGGAAUUCUCGGUGUAGCAGUGAAAUGCGUAGAUAUCGAGAGGAACACCAGUGGCGAAGGCAAGUCCCUGGAGCACUCCUGACGCUGAGGCACGAAAGCUAGGGGAGCAAACAGG
Molecule: ribosomal RNA, 253 nt
Filed under: uncultured bacterium
Lineage: Bacteria
Description: partial 16S ribosomal RNA
Rfam family: Bacterial small subunit ribosomal RNA
Source: RNAcentral